RNAcentral lists this non-coding RNA (24 nucleotides) under Cricetulus griseus (Chinese hamster). The record is from RNAcentral. Lineage: Eukaryota; Metazoa; Chordata; Mammalia; Rodentia; Cricetidae.
AACGUAACCUUGGGGUCUGUGGUC